CAUUUCUUUGGUUUUGCGACAAUCAUUAUUGCCGCUAAUCAAAGACAAACCAAAAACAAUAAAGUUAGAAAUAGAGUGGUUGGGUAAGUUAAAAUGGCGGGAGACAGGCUUAUCAAGAUCAUUCUUACGAAUACUACGAAGAUGUUCACAGAUACGAUCGCCAAGACGACGGCCAGUCUCACCGACAUACAACAAAUUACAAAGCGAACAUUUAAUGCAAUAGACAACAUUAGAGGUGGUACAAUCAAAGUGAUCAGUGAUUUUGAGUGACGAGUUAGGACCAACAAUGGAAGUGUGCGAGACAAGAAGAAAACCUUUUAUAAUCAAGUCACUGUCUUUUAAUUACAGACUUCUUCAAUACCGAUGCAAGUGCAUGCCCAACAAAUUGUACGAGUKUGUCUUACGAUGUGCAAACCUCAUCAGUCGUGUAUCUCAAUAAACCAGCAUUGGACGACUUCUCUAAAACAGAAAAUUAUUUCUGUGGGUUGAAUUAUGACUUUAAGAAAGAAUUCAACAAGUCCAAAGUUGACGACGAMUCAUACUCAGAGUGGUUUAGAGGAAGAUAUGCUCGUGUGAAAGUGUUCUUUUCAUCAAAAGACGUUGAAAUAAUACAAGAAAUUCYCGCCUUUGAUGCCUUGGAUUUGGCUGGAAACCUUGGUGGUAACAUGGGCCUUUACUUGGGAUGUAGUAUCUUGACACUGGUAGAGUUCGUUGAUUUGCUUGUAAUGGUAUUAAUCCAUUUGUYCAAGAAGGAAAAUAGCCUGACGAUUUCGGAUAAAUGAAAGACGACAAAGWGAKAAACCCGAGGGUUUCUAGCACCACUCGAUCACUGACGUACCGUUUUUUUACGUAAAACUUGAAAAUACUUUAUCAGUUGCGCUAAAUACUKAUUCGAUCGAUUUGAACUUACAUGUCACGUGACCCUAUCACUGCUAAAUAAAGAAAGUACGUCAGAACAAGCCUUCACUCCGCCCCCAACGAUGAACGMCUGCACACAAGAUACGUCAGAACACGUAGAAAUGAGAGCACCAGAAUUUGAUGUCAGUCCUCACUCACUAACACUUGUUUCUAAAUUCAGGUCAUUCAGGGUGUGUUGUACUAAGGGUAGUGAAUAUGUGUCUUACCAUCGGAUAGAUAAAUCCUUAUCCAGCGCAAAAACUAAAAUCAAUGCAAAAUCUAAGGAGUGCAUAACUUAUCUACAGUCUCCUUCCCAGGCAACUCUUUUUUCCUCCUUUGGGCUUCCU
Long non-coding RNA from Exaiptasia diaphana, 1244 nucleotides. RefSeq lists it as uncharacterized. The record is from RefSeq and is a predicted model, not a curated record. The transcript is spliced from 3 exons. NCBI's taxonomy places the organism in Eukaryota, Metazoa, Cnidaria, Anthozoa, Actiniaria, Aiptasiidae.